Phymastichus coffea is the source of this 583-nucleotide long non-coding RNA. RefSeq lists it as uncharacterized. NCBI's taxonomy places the organism in Eukaryota, Metazoa, Arthropoda, Insecta, Hymenoptera, Eulophidae. The transcript has 4 exons. The record is from RefSeq and is a predicted model, not a curated record.
UUUGCUAAUGAAAACAGUGCUUCCGAAAUUAAUGUUCAAAAAGAAACAAGUUUUGAAAGUUGUAAAGAAAUUGAGAAGAUUAAUGAGCCGAUUGCCGCUGAUAAGGACAUAGUUAAAAACAUUUUUUCUAAAUCUGCACUGAAAACAAAAUUAGAUAUUGUAAGAGAACAGUUGCCUAAAGUUCAAUCAAAUACUGUUGAUACUUCUACACAAAAAACAAUAAUUAUGUUAUUAACUAUGAUAAAAGAGUUUACAAUGUUAUGGUUGGUAAAAUUCAACUAAAAAACACAAGUAGUGGGAUAGCAAUGGAAUUUUAGAACAUAUGAAUGUAAAAUAUAUUGGUAAAACUAAAGUCAAACCAAAUGCUGUUGAAGAAGGUGUCAGGCUGUGUGUACAGUCAAACCAAAUGCUGUUGAAGAAGGUGUCAGGAGGAAAAGAAAUAGAGUGGAACUGACUUCAGUAAUUUAUAUAGUAAAAAUCAUUUAUUGAGGAGCUUUUCCACAUCCAAAAGCACCAAGGAAUUCAAAUUCACCAAUGCCUGCACCCACAUCAGUUUUCUUGUCAUAUUGACCCCAGGUCCAUG